GAGAGAGAGUGUGUGUGUGUGUGGGAGGGAGGGAAACACGUGGAGGGAACAGCAGGAGACAGACAGACAGACAGACAGACAGACAGACGGUGCAGGGGAUUUUCUUCCUUAUUAAUUUACUAUUUUGAAGCCUGAGGAGGAGGAGGAGGAAGAAGAGUAGACGGAAUUAAGAAAGCUGGAAGAUUUGAUUUGAUGAAGAAGUUUUAAUGGAAUUCCAUGUACGGAAAAAUGACUACACACACACACACACACACACACACACACACAUACACACGUUUCUCUGGAGUCUCCAGUGGCGUGUUAAGAUAGUGUGGAAAAAAAGAUAAUAAUUAGGAAGAGAAGCUUAUAUUGUCAUCAGCAAGUUACGUGAUUAAUAUCAUUUUACAACGAAACUUAAAUAUAGUGACAUCUGGCACUUCAAAACUCAAAUGCCAGAUACCUCUACAUUUAAACGUACACCAAUAUUAAUACUGUCCUCAUCCUUUCCUCCUCCUCCUUUCCUGCGAACACUCUUUAUCUAUACACACCAAAUCUCUUCAUCUAUUAGUCUUUUUCUCACAGUUAUUAGUGCUUACUGUCAUCAAGCAGCCGAGGAAGAAACUUAAAAGCUGUUGGUGUUUAUCCUGUGUCAUGUGCUGCUUUGUAUCGUGGACGCCGAAGAGGAGUAGGAGGAGGAGUAGCAAGAGGAGGAGGACGUGGAUAUGUGUGGAGGAGGUCCGAGGAGAGCGUUCAACCAUACGUGAUAUUCAGCAAGGAAAUGACAGGAGAAAUAGCUGCAGCAAUAGUAUCAAAUUCCCGGUUUUGUAAGAGCUGCUCAACCAACCACAUCGGGACCCACUCCAAGCCUCUCUGGACCCCCGGAGAACCACCACUCACUCACUCACACGCACGCACGCUACUGCAACGCCACACCCAGCCCGCCUCCACUCCUCCACCCUCUCACCUGCAGUACUCCACCUACUCCCGGACCCCUGCAACACCUUCUCCACCCCUCCACACCUCUACUGCCACCGUUUGAAACCCCACCCAUCGCCUCGCUCUCCUCCAUCAUUAGUAAAGGGCCGUGGGCGGGGUAGGAAAGGUCAGUCUCGUCAAGGCAAAGUCCAGCUAUUGGCAGUCUGCGUGUCCAAUAAUUUGCCAAUAUUUCUCCGCCAGUCAGAGAAGAGAACACGAGUGACGUCACGGCCAUGGUGAGAU
Scylla paramamosain (green mud crab) is the source of this 1197-nucleotide long non-coding RNA. RefSeq lists it as uncharacterized. Lineage: Eukaryota; Metazoa; Arthropoda; Malacostraca; Decapoda; Portunidae. The transcript is spliced from 4 exons. The record is from RefSeq and is a predicted model, not a curated record.